RNAcentral lists this long non-coding RNA (312 nucleotides) under Homo sapiens (human). RNAcentral describes it as "HSALNT0165624". Lineage: Eukaryota; Metazoa; Chordata; Mammalia; Primates; Hominidae. The record is from RNAcentral.
CUGAUUGAAGAUGAUGCCCCUAAGUUGUAUCGCAGAAAAUGAAGCAUGGCUCCUGGUGAGGCUGCGCGCACCCCGGGCGAGGAGCAUCUCUCACCCGGACAGCGGGGAUCCAACCGCACUCAGGGCUCGCUUUGUUAAUCUUCCAAAUCCUUCAGGCCAGAGCACAAUCCCUUGCAGAGGCCUGAAUCAGAGCACCAACAGGAAAUGAAGGGGAGAAGAGAGCCGCACUCAUUAACCUUUUCCUUUCAAUCAGGCCAGUACCAAACUUCUCGCCUGUAACUCUCAAAGCUCUCACCGAAUCAGGGUCUCGGA